UAAGCAGAUAGUGAAAUUGUGUGGCUCAACCAUACACCCAUUAUCUGAACUGCUAAGCUAGAGGGCGAGAGAGGUUACUAGAAUUCCUUGUGUAGGAGUGAAAUCCGUAGAUAUAAGGAGGAAUACCGAUGGCGUAGGCAGGUAACUGGCUCGUCCCUGACACUAAGGCACGAAAGCGUGGGAGCGACCGGGAUUAGAUACCCCGUUAGUCCACGCCGUAAACGAUGGAUGCUA
RNAcentral lists this ribosomal RNA (234 nucleotides) under uncultured Candidatus Saccharibacteria bacterium. RNAcentral's name for it is "partial 16S ribosomal RNA". It matches the Rfam family "Bacterial small subunit ribosomal RNA", at positions 584 to 818 of the family's 1533-position model. The record is from RNAcentral. Lineage: Bacteria; Candidatus Saccharimonadota.